RNAcentral lists this ribosomal RNA (259 nucleotides) under Staphylococcus aureus. RNAcentral describes it as "partial 16S ribosomal RNA". It matches the Rfam family "Bacterial small subunit ribosomal RNA", at positions 1 to 248 of the family's 1533-position model. Lineage: Bacteria; Bacillati; Bacillota; Bacilli; Caryophanales; Staphylococcaceae. The record is from RNAcentral.
UUUUAUGGAGAGUUUGAUCCUGGCUCAGGAUGAACGCUGGCGGCGUGCCUAAUACAUGCAAGUCGAGCGAACGGACGAGAAGCUUGCUUCUCUGAUGUUAGCGGCGGACGGGUGAGUAACACGUGGAUAACCUACCUAUAAGACUGGGAUAACUUCGGGAAACCGGAGCUAAUACCGGAUAAUAUUUUGAACCGCAUGGUUCAAAAGUGAAAGACGGUCUUGCUGUCACUUAUAGAUGGAUCCGCGCUGCAUUAGGUAG